Long non-coding RNA from Bos grunniens (domestic yak), 2421 nucleotides. The record is from Ensembl. NCBI's taxonomy places the organism in Eukaryota, Metazoa, Chordata, Mammalia, Artiodactyla, Bovidae.
UGUAUUGAACACUUGUUUUGUCACAUGCUGCACUACACGUGUUACAUAUGUUAACCCACUUAGUCCUCCCGACCACAAGUGAGGGAGACUAUUGUUAUCUCCAUUUCACAGUUGAGGAAAUUGAGGCACAGAAACAUUGUUACUUGCCCAAGGUUCACAAUUGAAAGGAGGCACAGCUGCAUUAUAGACGUGGGUGACUGAAAAGUUCACAUUACCUCUACCUAUCUCCUCAUUUCUUAAAUGUAUGGUCCUCAGACCAGCAGGACCUCAUCAUGUAUGAGAGAUGGAAUCUCAUCCAGACCCAAGCCAGAACCUGCAUUUUAACAAGGAGGUUCAAAUGCAUAUUCAGUUUGAAAAGCCCUGCCCCAGCCCAUGCUGUAAUGUUGCCCUUUUAAAAUAUAUUGGUCAUGUGGAUUUCUUCCCUGGUGAAAGGCUUUUCCUAUCUGUUGUCCAUUUUCUAUAGGUGACUUAUCUUUUCUUAUUGACUUAUGGGUUUCUUUAUGCUGAAUCUGAAUCCUUUGUGGCAUGGAUCAAACACUUCUCUCCCAGUAUGUAGCUUGUCACUUGCUUAGAGUGAUUUCUGCUGGCUCCAUCCACCUUUCUAAAUCCAUCUUUCUUGUCCAGAACCAGGCAAUAAUCUCAUUCCAUGAAGCCUCCUCCAACUCUCCCCACCUCCUCGGAUUUGUCUUUCCCUAUACAGAGGAGCCUGGUAGGCUGCAGUCCAUGGGGUCACUGAGGGUCAGACACGACUGAGCGACUUCACUUUCACUUUUCACUUUCAUGUAUUGGAGGAGGAAAUGGCAACCCACUCCAGUGUUCUUGCCUGGAGAAUCCCAGGGACUGCGGGGCCUGGUGGGCUGCCGUCUAUGGGGUCGCACAGAAUCAGACACGACUGAAGAGACUUAGCAGCAGCAGCAGCGUAAUCCUUAUGGUCUAGGGCUCCAUCUGACCCUGGCUAUAGCUAGCGGCGAUCCUCUGCCCAUAAGAUCAGCAAAUCUCAGCUUGUCAGAGAAACCUGGGUUUUUAUUCUGAUUCUGCCAAAUUAAUACCUAUCUAAUUUAAGGCGGCAAGUCACAGCCUGUCUGUUUCCUUAUCUGAAAAUGGAGAUAAGAAUACUUAGCUCAGAAUUUUGUGGUUAGAACGAAGUAAGUGCACAUAAGUGAAGGUGUUCUGCACCCUGGGAGAAUACAAUAUUGUUUCUGAAUGGCUUGGUUUGUUUAUAAUUACAAAGAGAUCUGCUUGAGGUGGGGACUACUUUGUAGUCCAGGGCGCAGCUCAGGGUUGGUCAAUAGUAAGUGGGCACCACAACUAGAUUGACCCAGGCACCUGUCACAUCGACUUCCAGACCUGCCUAGAGGUGAGGUUCAGUCCCUGCUUCAGCAUCUAUCACUGUACCUUCCAUAACUCUGGGAGUCCUGGCUGGAUGCCUUGCCUCGCUGAGACUCUGUUUCCUCAAUUCUAACAUGGAGAUGUUAAACCCCAUCCUGCUUUCCCAGAAGGAUGCUGUAAAGACACAUUUAAAGGUGACAGUGAAAGUACUCUAAAGGGCUUUGCAAAAGUCAUGGGGAAUCAAUAUACAAACUUCAUCAUGAAAUAUCUGCUGCUGCUGCUGCUGCUAAGUCGCUUCAGCCGUGUCCAACUCUGUGCCACCCCAUAGACGGCAGCCCACCAGGCUCCCCCAUCCCUGGGAUUCUCCAGGCAAGAACACUGGAGUGGGUUGCCAUUUCCUUCUCCAAUGCAUGAAAGUGGAAAGUGAAAAGUGGAAGUGAAGUCGCUCAGUCGUGUCCGACUCUUAGCGACCCCAUGGACUGUAGCCCAUCAGGCUCCUCCAUCCAUGGGAUUCUCCAGGCAAGAGUACUGGAGUGGGGUGCCAUUGCCUUCUCCCAUGAAAUAUAUAAGUAGACACUUUUACAAGAUAGCAUUAUAAUAUUUCUCAGUGCAGAUGAACCAAAUUUUAUUUGACACAUACAUACUUAAGCAUUAUGAAAUUUUCAGAUGUGGGGCUCCAAUAAUGACUGCAUGAUGGUAUCUCUUGAGGUAACAUUUUCAAGAGUUUUUGUUGAAACCUUUCAUUUCUAAUCAGUUGCUGAUUUCUUUCCACCCAAGCCUUCAAUUAUUGCUGCAAUGUUGCCAAACAAUUCAAGUAUAUAAAACAUAUAAUAGUAAAAUAAGCCCAAAUCAUUUAGAAGUGAACAAACAAAUAAAAAUAUUAUACUCUCAAAAUAACAAGUAAAGUAAAAUUAGACAACCCCUAAACCAGAGUUUCAGUAACUUGGAAGAGAAAAAAGUUAAAUAUUUUCACUAACUUCUAACUGAAAUAUAGCAUGUCCUUUAAUUAUGAACACAGUCAACGAUUGAUAGUACUGUGAGCAGUUCCUGUGACUUUAUCACCAAUAGAAAUCAGAUAUUUACAUAUUCCAG